This 524-nucleotide ribosomal RNA is filed under the name Ligilactobacillus acidipiscis. Its description in RNAcentral is "bacterial SSU rRNA". It matches the Rfam family "Bacterial small subunit ribosomal RNA", at positions 71 to 574 of the family's 1533-position model. Lineage: Bacteria; Bacillati; Bacillota; Bacilli; Lactobacillales; Lactobacillaceae. The record is from RNAcentral.
UGAGUGCUUGCACUCAGCGGUCAAAGUGCGAGUGGCGAACGGGUGAGUAACACGUGGGCAAUCUGCCCAAAAGUGGGGGAUAACACUUGGAAACAGGUGCUAAUACCGCAUCAACCGGCUGACCGCAUGGUCGGCCGGGCAAAGACGGCGUCAGCUGUCGCUUUUGGAUGAGCCCGCGGCGUAUUAACUAGUUGGUAAGGUAACGGCUUACCAAGGUGAUGAUACGUAGCCGAACUGAGAGGUUGAUCGGCCACAUUGGGACUGAGACACGGCCCAAACUCCUACGGGAGGCAGCAGUAGGGAAUCUUCCACAAUGGACGCAAGUCUGAUGGAGCAACGCCGCGUGUAUGAAGAAGGUCUUCGGAUCGUAAAAUACUGUUGUCAGAGAAGAACACGUGAUAGAGUAACUGCUAUGGCGCUGACGGUAUCUGACCAGCAAGUCACGGCUAACUACGUGCCAGCAGCCGCGGUAAUACGUAGGUGGCAAGCGUUGUCCGGAUUUAUUGGGCGUAAAGGGAACGCAG